Long non-coding RNA from Condylura cristata (star-nosed mole), 546 nucleotides. RefSeq lists it as uncharacterized. The transcript is spliced from 3 exons. Lineage: Eukaryota; Metazoa; Chordata; Mammalia; Eulipotyphla; Talpidae. The record is from RefSeq and is a predicted model, not a curated record.
UAGAUUCGGCCCCUUACCACCACCCCAGUGAAGCUGUGCAGAUAAUAUCAGCCCUUCAGCUUUUCAAGAUUCUGAACAGAUUGUAUCCAGCUGUUCUCUGUAUAAGAGCGAGUCACACUAGAUCUAUCAACAUAGGCAUUUGUUCAGUGAGUGAACUGGAUGGCAAUGCGCUGUUUCCUGUUAUCUAUCAAAGUGAGGUCUUGUGAAAAUGGGAGGUACCCUGAGAGAAGACAAGUCACUUCACUGCCAAAAGAGGGGCUGGGUAGUGUACAGGAAGAGUGCGAUGAAAGAAAAGACAAAAAGAAGAUAAGAAAUAUGACGCUUUUUUCUUCUGUGUGUCGGUAAAAUGAACCCCUCAGAUAAGGAAAUGGAACUCCAAGUCUUAACAAAUAGAAAAAUGCAGGAUCAUUCGAACAGGAGUUAAACGUAACCGUCUACAAAGCCGUAGUCAGAUACCUGACUAAUCCGCACCACCCCUAAGGAAAGUUUCCUUUGUGUCGGGGCCGUACGUCAAUCUAUUAUUUUUCCCAUUCGUACCUGAUACCU